Molecule: long non-coding RNA, 1802 nt
Organism: Neofelis nebulosa (Clouded leopard)
Lineage: Eukaryota; Metazoa; Chordata; Mammalia; Carnivora; Felidae
Exons: 3
Source: RefSeq, a predicted model, not a curated record
GGGCCGGACUCCUGGAUGCCCCUCCCCCUUGCUCAACCCUCCCGCCCACGACCUCACCUCGGGCCCACAGGCCAGGGGGCGCGGAUGAACACCAGCGGAUGCGGGGGAUGCCUCCCCUGCUCCAGGCUCAGCGUCGGCCCCCCGUCAUGAAAUCCAGGGCUUGGCACAGUAAAUAUUUGGUCUCGGGAGCUGUUCUCCUUUCUCGUUCUCGGGAACCUGAGCCUUCAUCUCAUUGGAUGGAAGCCAAGAUGCCCACUGUGUGACCCAGACAGAGGGAAUGAGGACCUUUACAGACCGCCUGAGAACACCGAAACGUGGCCACCGAAAACACCACUUUCCGGUCUUUUCUGAAGGCCUCAGCAGAGGAAUCAGCUGUUCCUCCUGUUACCAUCUGUUCAUGGAAUGCUCUUAGAGAGUCUAAAGGUGUCCUGAGGCUGCGAAUUAUAAAAGAUAGAGAUUUAACCCACUUUUUCGACAAGCAUUUGACACAAGAGGAGUUUUGGGCGUUUCACAGAUAAAACGGUAUCCAUAGAGUGCUCUGCAGUCCCCCACCAACCCCAGCACUGAAUCACAGACUUCUGAGCGGAGGCCCCAGGACCGUCCAUCCACGAUGCUGCGCAGAGCCUCAUCACCUACUCUGCAUCCGGGCCUCUUACCCCUCCGCCCAGGCCAGUGGAGGGGUGAAGCACAGCCCCCACGGGACUGUGCCAUGAACUCGGGCUCAGCAUGAAGGAGGGACUCCGAUUCCUGCAUGCAAGCAGGGUAGAUGUGACCAGUUGUCCAGCUGCCCUGACGGAGCACCAUUCUGCCUCAUCCCUCCAGCCCUCCACCUGCAGCCAGGCUGGUGGGCAGCACUUUGGCUGAAAGGUUGGGUGGGCAUUCUCAGAUCUCAGAAGCUGGGUGGCCAAGAACUGUGGUGUUUGCUCAUGUUCUGUAUUAGCGUUCUCCAGAGAAACAGAACCAGUAGGAUCUUUGUAAGCAUAGAAAGAGAUUUUUCAUAAAGAAUUGGCUCACACAAUUAUGGAGACUGACAAGCCCCAAGGUCUACAGUCAGCAAGCUGGAGAACCAUGGGAGCUGAUGAUAUAGUUCCCUUGCCAGGAGGCUGAAGACCCAGGAAGAGCUGAUGUUUCAGUUUGAGUCCAAAGGCGGGGGAAAAAAAACAAAAAACAAAAAACAAAACAAAAAAACAAUGUUCCAAUCUGAAGGCAGGCAGGCAGGCAGGAGGGUUUCCUUCUUAUUCUAGGGAGUUUUUGUUUCAGUCAGGUCUUCAACUGAUUGGAUGAGGCCCACCCAUCCUACAAAGGGCGAUCUACUUUAUUUAGUCAGUCAAUUUAAAUGUUAAUCUCAUUCAAAAAUACCCUCACAGCAACAGUCAGAAUGAUGUCUGACCAAACGUGGCAGUUUACAUAUCUGGUCAAGUUUACACAUAAAAUUAACUAUCGUAGGUACACAUUUUUCUUAUUCUAUAAAAUUAAUGGAGGAUAAGAAGAGAGAACUGGAGAGAUGCCAAUUUUGGCCACACUUCAUUUCCAUUUUGUCAUGGGGACUCUUCCAGAAGACAGGCUAAAGACACCAUAGACUAGUUGGCAAAGCAGUUGUGCCCCUUUAACACCCUCCGCCCCGCUUCCCAAAGUACAAAAGGCUUCACUGACCCACUCAGCUGUGAGCCACUUGAGAGCGGGGCCUUUAUCCUAGUCAUACAGGAUAUGACUCCAGUGUCGACCACGUCCCAUCACACAGAAGUCCUCCAGUAUGGAUUUAAUGAAUAAAUGAAUGAGUUAACAAAGAAUGAUUGAAUGGC